UGCUGGAGGUAUCAGAAGUGCGAAUGCUGACAUAAGUAACGAUAAAGCGGGUGAAAAGCCCGCUCGCCGGAAGACCAAGGGUUCCUGUCCAACGUUAAUCGGGGCAGGGUGAGUCGACCCCUAAGGCGAGGCCGAAAGGCGUAGUCGAUGGGAAACGGGUUAAUAUUCCCGUACUUGGUGUUACUGCGAAGGGGGGACGGAGAAGGCUAUGUUGGCCGGGCGACGGUUGUCCCGGUUUAAGCGUGUAGGUGUGUGUUCCAGGUAAAUCCGGUUCACUUUAACACUGAGGCGUGACGACGAGGCACUACGGUGCUGAAGCAACAAAUGCCCUGCUUCCAGGAAAAGCCUCUAAGCAUCAGGUAACAUCAAAUCGUACCCCAAACCGACACAGGUGGUCAGGUAGAGAAUACCAAGGCGCUUGAGAGAACUCGGGUGAAGGAACUAGGCAAAAUGGUGCCGUAACUUCGGGAGAAGGCACGCUGACACGUAGGUGAAGUGAUUUACUCAUGGAGCUGAAGUCAGUCGAAGAUACCAGCUGGCUGCAACUGUUUAUUAAAAACACAGCACUGUGCAAACACGAAAGUGGACGUAUACGGUGUGACGCCUGCCCGGUGCCGGAAGGUUAAUUGAUGGGGUCAGCGCAAGCGAAGCUCCUGAUCGAAGCCCCGGUAAACGGCGGCCGUAACUAUAACGGUCCUAAGGUAGCGAAAUUCCUUGUCGGGUAAGUUCCGACCUGCACGAAUGGCGUAAUGAUGGCCAGGCUGUCUCCACCCGAGACUCAGUGAAAUUGAACUCGCUGUGAAGAUGCAGUGUACCCGCGGCAAGACGGAAAGACCCCGUGAACCUUUACUAUAGCUUGACACUGAACAUUGAGCCUUGAUGUGUAGGAUAGGUGGGAGGCUUUGAAGUGUGGACGCCAGUCUGCAUGGAGCCGACCUUGAAAUACCACCCUUUAAUGUUUGAUGUUCUAACGUGG
This 976-nucleotide ribosomal RNA is filed under the name Salmonella enterica. Its description in RNAcentral is "partial 23S ribosomal RNA". It matches the Rfam family "Bacterial large subunit ribosomal RNA", at positions 1271 to 2230 of the family's 2925-position model. RNAcentral also lists the same sequence under 3 other names. The record is from RNAcentral. Lineage: Bacteria; Pseudomonadati; Pseudomonadota; Gammaproteobacteria; Enterobacterales; Enterobacteriaceae.